Molecule: ribosomal RNA, 406 nt
Filed under: uncultured bacterium
Lineage: Bacteria
Description: partial 16S ribosomal RNA
Rfam family: Bacterial small subunit ribosomal RNA
Source: RNAcentral
AUUGAACGCUAGCGGGAUGCCUUACACAUGCAAGUCGAACGAGUGGCGAACGGGUGAGUAAUGUCUGGGAAACUGCCUGAUGGAGGGGGAUAACUCCUGGAAACGGUAGCUAAUACCGCAUACCAUCGGAUGUGCCCAGAUGGGAUUGGCUAGUAGGUGGGGUAACGGCUCACCUGGGCGACGAUCCCUAGCUGGGCUGAGAGGAUGACCAGCCACACUGGAACUGAGACACGGUCCAGACUCCUACGGGAGGCAGGAGUGGGGAAUAUUGCACAAUGGGCGCAAGCCGGAUGCAGCCAUGCCGCGUGUGUGAAGAAGGCCUUCGGGUUGUAAAGCACUUUCAGCGGGGAGGCGUUACCCGCAGAAGAAGCACCGGCUAACUCCGUGCCAGCAGCCGCGGUAAUAC